CUGUAUAUGAAAUAUAAUGGCGGAAGUAGAUGCGAAGCUGCUGCUCGGGUACCAUCAGCCUUCUGACUCUCUGCAUCAAACUCAACUCUAACACUUCACCAUGGUGACAGACGUACAGCUGGCUAUUUUCGCCAACAUGCUGGGAGUGUCGCUGUUCCUCCUGGUGGUGCUCUAUCACUACGUGGCGGUCAACAACCCCAAGAAGCUUGAAUGAUCAUAACAUUUAGAUAAAUCAAAAGAUGAAUGAUGCGACUGGGGACCACCGGAUAAAACAGACGAUGACGCAGCCUGUACAAAUCUUUUCUAUGAAAAUGUUAAUAAAUUUGUAAAGACC
Molecule: RNA transcript, 334 nt
Organism: Clarias gariepinus (North African catfish)
Lineage: Eukaryota; Metazoa; Chordata; Actinopteri; Siluriformes; Clariidae
Gene: ost4
Gene name: oligosaccharyltransferase complex subunit 4 (non-catalytic)
Exons: 4
Source: RefSeq, a predicted model, not a curated record